RNAcentral lists this ribosomal RNA (242 nucleotides) under uncultured bacterium. Its description in RNAcentral is "partial 16S ribosomal RNA". It matches the Rfam family "Bacterial small subunit ribosomal RNA", at positions 15 to 266 of the family's 1533-position model. The record is from RNAcentral.
GAUCCUGGCUCAGGAUGAACGCUGGCGGCGUGCCUAACACAUGCAAGUCGAGCGAUUUACUUCGGUAAAGAGCGGCGGACGGGUGAGUAACGCGUGGGUAACCUGCCCUGUACACACGGAUAACAUACCGAAAGGUAUGCUAAUACGAGAUAACAUGAGAAAGUCGCAUGGCUUUCUUAUCAAAGCUCUGGCGGUACAGGAUGGACCCGCGUCUGAUUAGCUAGUUGGUAAGGUAACGGCUU